UGGGGAAUUUUGCACAAUGGGGGAAACCCUGAUGCAGCGACGCCGCGUGAUUUAGAAGGCCUUCGGGUUGUAAAAAUCUUUUGUAUGGGAAGAAAAUGACAGUACCAUACGAAUAAGGACCGGCUAAUUACGUGCCAGCAGCCGCGGUAAUACGUAAGGUCCGAGCGUUGUCCGGAAUCAUUGGGCGUAAAGGGUACGUAGGCGGAUAAGCAAGUUAGAAGUGAAAUCCUAUAGCUCAACUAUAGUAAGCUUUUAAAACUGCUCAUCUUGGGGUAUGGAAGGGAAAGUGGAAUUCCUAGUGUAGCGGUGGAAUGCGCAGGUAUUAGGAGGAAUACCGGUGGCGAAAGCGACUUUCUGGCCAUAUACUGAAGCUGGGGUACGAAAGCGUGGGUAGCAAACAGG
Molecule: ribosomal RNA, 402 nt
Filed under: Verrucomicrobiota bacterium
Lineage: Bacteria; Pseudomonadati; Verrucomicrobiota
Description: Verrucomicrobia bacterium partial 16S ribosomal RNA
Rfam family: Bacterial small subunit ribosomal RNA
Source: RNAcentral